Long non-coding RNA from Aedes albopictus (Asian tiger mosquito), 2290 nucleotides. RefSeq lists it as uncharacterized. The record is from RefSeq and is a predicted model, not a curated record. Lineage: Eukaryota; Metazoa; Arthropoda; Insecta; Diptera; Culicidae. The transcript is spliced from 3 exons.
CUAGGUAUAUGCGCUCGCCUAUCAAAUCGCGCCCCAUCAUCGGGGCCGGUUGUUGUUGCUUCUGUUGUCCGCAACUUGGCACGCUUAGCUGCGAACAGAAAUGCAACUCAGUGUAAACAAAACCACGGUGACUGGCGCUAGGGCAAAAUUUUCAGUUGUUAAGCUCUUCGGUUUUUGCGUUUGAAUCCGGUCGCGUUCUGGUGCAGUGAAGAAGGCCCCCCAGUGCAGUUUGUUUGCUCUCAGCUAAUCCACGGUGCACCGAAGGCAGGGGUCGAAGUUUCAGUGCACGCUUAGAACCAGCAUAAUGCUCUCGUUUAAGACAAUGGCACUGAUGGCAACGUCGAUAAUUAGCGGUGCGGUCGCAGCGGCUCAUCUCAAUCCCACCCAAGGACAGACCGGAAAUGGAUCAAUUGUCUUGUCAAACAGCCACUUCGAAGUGAUGGAUCUGAUGGUGAAGAAGUUUUUUCGCGAUCGUGAUCACGUUCUUCUACCUCAUUCAGCUGGUGCGCUUUCUGUCGAUUCCGCUGCGCACGCGGCUGGAAGAAACUGAGGAAGUGCGACGCGUCAAGCGGCUCUUCAUGAUGGUGGUUAGAGCGUUCAUGGCCGCUGGUUAGCACAACAUGUAGCGACAGCAACGACGACGACGACUCCUUCGGACGGCGCUUUCCAGAGCGUUCAAUAAAUAUUACCGGCCAGCUCCGACUAGUCAACGCCGCCGACGUCGGCCGUCCCUGCGUGUAGUUAGUGCCACUAAAAUUGACCCACUGUCGAGCCAUUACCGACCACCAUUAGGUUUACUCGAGCACCGAUCGCACCACGCGGACGCGGAGGAACGAGAGCUGGGAUGGAUGGUAAGCUAAAAAAAACCUGUGGUGGCCGAAAAACAACAACCACUAUUUUGCCUUGAUGCGAGCGCCACACAACUGUUAAAGGCUGUUGCAAGCUGUGAUGAAACGAUUUUCUGUUCCAUUCGGUGCAUUGGUAUGGUAUCGAAACUUGGAGACUGGUAGGUAGAUUGCGCUAAAAUGCCUCGAACGGCAUUCCAUUACUCGAGUUAGCAAUAGAAUAAAGACUGUUCGAGAGGAAAUCGGAUACGGAAACUUGUUUGUAAGUUUUUGUGGUGUUGAUUGUAGGGUAUGUGUGCCAUCAGUAAUCUCAUGCUCCCAUAUUUAUCCUAUUCGAUAACAAGCGAUUACGGCACCGAUUGAUUCCGUUCUUUUUGUUUUCAUGUGUGCUCACUUCUAACAAAAAUACAAAAAUAGAAAACAAAACAAAACGCUUCAAUCUUUUGUUUUUCGUAGGAUGAAAAUGGGAGCCACAUGCUUAAUAAGGGAAUCAAUAUCCUAUAUUAGAUUAUUUUAAUUAAAGUGCAAAACAAACUCAAUAGGUAUUAAUACUAUGUGCGCUAGACACGAUUUUUUUUGAAAUUUCAUCCGUUUCAACAUUGAGAGACGCGAAAUACCAAAAUAAAAUAUUCUCAAAUAAAUUUCCGUGUCCACUAUUUCUUUUGAUUCGCUGCUCAUUGUGGUGAUAUGUACCGAUUAGACCAAAAUUUACUUUAUCAUUGUUUUCAGAAUGAUGCUUUCUUUGUUUCAUGUGCAUAUCAAAUAUUGAAUGCAUAGCACAGAGGAAUGAAUUUCAAUAAACUAUGUAAUCAAGGGCAUCAUAGUAAUCAGAUGUACACUAUAGUAAUGCAUUGAUCGACUUUCUUUAAAACGCAUAAAAAUCAGUAAAUUAGCUAGCAUUCUCCCAUUUAUAAGUGAUAUUUGAAAAACAUGCAAUCAUAUAUCAUAAAGUAACUUGGAGCCAUUGUGACAUACAGUUACUAGAGUAAGAUAAAACUAUAAACCCAAACAGGUACUGCGCCGACACAUCACGUACGAAGUACGUGCUGCGUACGACCGCGCGCAUAAAGAUGACGAUUGGAUCAAUGCAAUGUAGCAAGAAAAUGAUGCAACGCGUACACAGUACGCUGUAUCCAAUUUUUGAUUAUUUAUCACGUUGAUCCCUCUUAUAGCGUAUAGUUAGUUCACUGUACCACACUCACUAUAUCAGUCAACGCGGGGAGGAAGGCAAAGUCCUCUUCUCCGCGUAUGUGUGUUAAUCGCGUAGCGUAAAGGUAGGUAGGUAAUCGGGCGGGCGGUCAGCAGUUGUAUACCUACAUUUAGCUGGGCUAAUAGUGGCUGCAAUCCAAUGUUGAACAAAUUGUGAGUGAGCAAGCUGCUUGCUUGAGCGAUAGAAAACGCAAAUAAAGCCCCGAUUUGUGAUAUGAUGUAAUGUUACAACCGUU